AAUCUUUGGCGGUGUUCGUACAAAGGCGAUGUGGAAACUAAAAAUUAAAAAUGGAAGGAAAACCCCAAAGUCGGAUGCAGGAGGUCAGGGCAGAUGAAAUAGGACGUCAAAUCCAAGCUUAUGCCCUUUAUUGUGGGAUUUCACCGACAGGAAGGAAUUCCACAAAAUGGGCGAAUUCGCUGAAUAGUUAAAGUGCUGGAUGAGAUCCACUAAAGAAUCCCAGUAGGAAGGAACAUGCCGAGUGGGACUUCGAUCUCUACAUGGACAUCCUGCCGGGCGCGUCCCCGCAAGGAAACAGAACCACCAGUAAUACGAUCUCCGGAUACCACCACCACUACUUGGCAGCUUAAGCGGAGAUGGAGGACCCGCUGGCUUCUAUAGGGAGGAGGAAAAUAGGGCGCCCGCUAAGGAACAGUUGGAGAAGCCAUAGCCAGCCACUGCCAGGAUGCUGGGCGACUUCAUGCAGCAUCAGCGGAUCAACCCCGUUCUCCCACUUCCUCAAGGUCCAGUAUGCCCAUUGGGACACGGAGCUGGACUGCGGUGGCACGGAAAAGAAUGCGAAGCAUCCGUGGGACGAGAAGGAAACCUUAAGCUACUAAUUUAGAUAAAUAAAAACAUUCGUUGAACAUUCCA
This is a non-coding RNA of Drosophila suzukii, 633 nucleotides long. The record is from RefSeq and is a predicted model, not a curated record. NCBI's taxonomy places the organism in Eukaryota, Metazoa, Arthropoda, Insecta, Diptera, Drosophilidae.